AUUAAAUAUUCUUAAAAAAAGCUUUAACAACUCUGGGUCCAUGUUAUUAAUGCCGAUUCGUUUUAAAGAAGUGAUAGUUAAAGAAUCCAAAGUAGUCCCUGGUAUUUAUUUCUCUGCUCAUCAAUCUCAUUUAGUUUCUUUUACAAAUAAAAUAUAUAAAGAUCCAUACAUAGCCACUGAUAUCCACAAGAUCUACCCAGAUACGUCUGCCAAGGGAGAUCAAAUCAACCUGAACUCCUUCCAUUCAUAAAAAUAAAAUUAAUUUUGAAAUAUAGAUCAAUAUCCAUUUCAUCGAGAUCACUGUCUCAAGAGCACUGCAACCUAACAACUACUCUGCGUUUGGAAACCCCAGUUAUGCUAACAAUAUUAAAAUAAGUACCAAAUUAUACUAGUAAUUGGAUAACCUAAAAUUGAGGUGAAAAAAAAAAAUAUAUAUAUAUAUAUAUAUUAGAUUAACUUGGAGAUUCUUGUUCUAUAAACUGUCUCAGUCAUAUAAUUUGCACUAGCACGAAAAUCGGGAAAGCCACCCUUAUAUGCCAAAAACUUGUGUUGCACGGUCAAUUUUUUUGCAAGUACAUAUUUAGCCCCGGUUUGGUUCCGACUUUUCACCCUAAAAAAUCAAUUUUUUUACUGUUACUUCCCUAAGUCAGCCAUCAUUUUUUACUUCUUCACUCAUAGGUGGGACCUAUUUUUCUUUCUAACGAUCAAAAAAUUGAUUCUCAUAAUCACCGUCGAACAAGUCCUUAAUAUGUGAAAUGCACAUAUACAAAGAAUGCACAAUGUCUACGUAAACAAAAUCUAGAAAUGUGAAUUUAGCCGUGACUUUCGACCUAAUAAAUAUACUGAUUCAGGUAAGCACUAGGUCGUAUUAAAUUACCAGGGUAUGUGCUUCUUGGCUUUGCAAAGGGCUGCAAAGGCUCCAAAGUCUUCACCUUUCCCCACAAUUUCCUAUAUUCAGCAUCCUUCAACG
RNAcentral lists this long non-coding RNA (970 nucleotides) under Olea europaea (common olive). RNAcentral describes it as "long non-coding RNA (OEUR_LNC013635)". Lineage: Eukaryota; Viridiplantae; Streptophyta; Magnoliopsida; Lamiales; Oleaceae. The record is from RNAcentral.